GCGGGUGUAACUCAACUGGUAGAGUGUCAGCCUUCCAAGCUGAAUGUUGCGGGUUCGAGUCCCGUCGCCCGCUCCA
RNAcentral lists this transfer RNA (76 nucleotides) under Bacteroidota bacterium. Its description in RNAcentral is "tRNA-Gly". It matches the Rfam family "tRNA". Rfam says of the family: Transfer RNA (tRNA) molecules are approximately 80 nucleotides in length. Their secondary structure includes four short double-helical elements and three loops (D, anti-codon, and T loops). The record is from RNAcentral. Lineage: Bacteria; Pseudomonadati; Bacteroidota. RNAcentral also lists the same sequence under 2 other names.